GACGAACGCUGGCGGCGUGCUUAACACAUGCAAGUCGAACGGUGAAGCGCCUUCCUUUUUGGUGGGUGUGGAUGAGUGGCGAACGGGUGAGUAACACGUGAGUAACCUGCCCCCUUCUUCUGGAUAACCGCAUGAAAGUGUGGCUAAUACGGGAUAUUCUGGGUCUGUCGCAUGAUGGGUCUGGGAAAGAUAUUGUUUCGGUGGGGGAUGGGCUCGCGGCCUAUCAGCUUGUUGGUGGGGUGAUGGCCUACCAAGGCGGUGACGGGUAGCCGGCCUGAGAGGGUGGACGGUCACACUGGGACUGAGACACGGCCCAGACUCCUAAGGGAGGCAGCAGUGGGGAAUAUUGCACAAUGGGCGCAAGCCUGAUGCAGCGACGCCGCGUGAGGGAUGGAGGCCUUCGGGUUGUGAACCUCUUUCGACAGUGAAGCAGGCCUGCCUCGUUUGUGGGUGGGUUGACGGUAGCUGGAUAAGAAGCGCCGGCUAACUACGUG
This 494-nucleotide ribosomal RNA is filed under the name uncultured bacterium. Its description in RNAcentral is "partial 16S ribosomal RNA". It matches the Rfam family "Bacterial small subunit ribosomal RNA", at positions 28 to 507 of the family's 1533-position model. The record is from RNAcentral.